GAAGAAGGUUUGUUUGCAUGUCUUACCAUGAGGUCAGAAGUUUUGCGAGAAGGAAACUAUCCAGACGUUGGCACUUUGGUGGAACGGUGCAGAAUUGAUUAAGCUGGUUUGCGCGGUGAGUAUUGUCUGUUACAUGUUUUAAGACCUUCGGCGUGAAAUUUGUAUACUAACUACAUAUAUUGUUUGUGCAGGAUGAGUAUAAGUUGAGGAAGCAGUUUUUAUUAUACCUGCUAAAACAACAACUUUCCUGAUAUUGCUAAAGAAUUUCUUAAGCGCAUCAUCUAGAUAUUGAUAAUUUUGUAAUAGAUGUUCAGCUGGAACAUGGACAUGUCAUUAGUCUUUUCUUUUUCUUAUCAAUUUUCAUUGCAAAAUGGACUUCAAUUAUUCAGUAAUUGUGUUUGUGUUAUAUUGUUUGUGCAUGU
RNAcentral lists this long non-coding RNA (422 nucleotides) under Triticum aestivum (bread wheat). Its description in RNAcentral is "long non-coding RNA (TAES_LNC010960)". The record is from RNAcentral. Lineage: Eukaryota; Viridiplantae; Streptophyta; Magnoliopsida; Poales; Poaceae.